AAAUCAGGGCACCCAGUGGCCGCUGCCAGGCUGAGCUAUGGAGCCAGAGCAGCUGGAAACGGCCUCCCGUGGGCCGAGUUAGGCGAGAGAGCCUGGUGGUGAAACCGACCUGGGGCCCAGCCCUAUGGAGCUCACAGUCUGGUGGGGAAGUCUAUGAAACAAGUGUACAGUCACCAAUUGUGAUAAGCUCAAAAGAGAGAGGUGUGAACCAUAGGCGGGAACAGAUGUGCCAUCGAAAUUUUUCCACCUGAGUUGCCGUUUUCCAGUAUGAAUAUUUUUCUGUGCCACAAAUCCAAAAGACAUUUUGGUGACAAACAGCCUAUAAGAGGACACUCAGCACUUUGGGAGGCUGAGGCGGCAGAUCACUUGAGGUCAGGAGUUCGAGAUCAGCCUGGCCAAUAUGGAAAAAUCCCGUUUCUAACUAAAAAUACAAAAAUUAGCCAGGCGUAGUCGCGGUUGCCUGUAGUCCCAGCUACUUGGGAGGCUGAGGCAGGAGAAUCACUUGAACCUGGGAAGUGGAGGUUGCAGUGAGCCAAGAUUAUGCCACUGCACUCCAGCCUGGGCAAGAGAGUGAAACUCUGUCUGGGAAAAAAAAAAAGAAGACACUCAGACUUACAAUAACUGACUUUUGCUUUAUUGUGUAAUUUACACAGGACAACCCCAAAUUCCACACUUCGUUUUUCUCUUCUGCCUUCAUUAUUCUUUCAAUAUCUACGUCAACAGAAAUCGUUUCUCCCAAUAACAUAUGUGGUUUGAUCCUCAGCCAGGACGCACAGGCCCUACAAGAUCCCAGCCCUCCAACACGGACACCUGGACCCUCCCAUUUGACUGCAGCCUUGUCUGUUUGUACCGGGGCUCUGCCCUGGUCCUGUCACCCCUGAGACGUCCGUAAGGUAGGAAUGCCAAACAGGAUCUGUGUGAUGUGUCAACUCUGAGUAAAUACAAGAGGCUGCUAGGAGCCCCCAGCUGAGGAUUGAGAGGCAGGCUGUGUCUGGUUCCAUUUCAAAGAAUGCUGUGAUGCAUUAGCAGCGUCUGCUAUGGCAACACCCAUUAGAAGCACCUGGAAGGGGGGUUUUGGGAAACGGGCUCAGAAAGGAGCAAGGUGUGUCCGUUCCAUUCUUGCCUUAGGUGGCUGUUCCGUUACCCAGGCUAUGCUGUCUCAGUGGCCAGGUGGCUGAGGAGGAAGUCUGAAGGCCGCAUAGUUGCAAGUGGCUUCCCUAGGGCCUGCAGGGGACAGCAUAGGCCCAAAGCUAGAGGAAGCUUGGAAGGGCGCCCACGCUGGGUCCUGCGGGGCUCUGCAUACUGCAGGCCACCAUGGCGCUAGCUCCUUACCCUCUGGAGUCUGUCUCAUCCAGGAGAAGACAGCUGGCUGGCCUCAGAGCGUUACAUGCAACUCGGGUGAAAACAUUUUUACAUGACACAGACACACAAUGGGCUUUACCUCUGGAUAAACUUAGAAACUUUCCAUCCAAACGAAAAGGGUGUAUCUUCUGUAUGUUGCCAAGAAGCCUAAACUGAGUACAAGGACGAUCUUACUUUAAUCAAGUUCCAGAAUGAGGGUACACAGCUUCGAAAAGCAGUCUGUAGCAGAAGAUGCAAGGGUGUGUGUAGCCAUGUUUCCAGAAUAUACCAAAGGAAACACACACAACCCCAGUGUGGCCUUUUGCGAACCCUCGAUGCUGCUCCAUACUGGGGGCAGGCGGCUACUUCGUCCAGCUGACUUUGGGAAUGUCGUAAUGCUCCGUGAGUGUGUCCAGGUGUCUGUUGAAGUCCUGGGGAGGUGGAGUAGAAGGCCGGUGUCAGCGCAGACCCAAGUGGGGUACUGGGGAGAAGUGGCACUGCCCAGCCCCACCUCUCCCACAUCCUAUCUCUCCUGAGCCCCCUCCUCUCAAACUCACCCUGCCAGGUCUUACAGACUCCUGAACCCUGGGCUCCCCUUUGAAUAACCCUGGGGAAGUGUCACUUCUAUUAGGUAAACUUCCCUUCUCGUCAACAUGCCAACAGCUCCCUCUGCCAGCUGAUAGCCUCUGGGCCCAGCUGGGACCCUGAAUGGCUCAGUCUCCCCCACUGGACACGGCGACUCACCUCCACUCUCUGCUUGUGGGUUUUGGAUGCCUUCUUUAGGAUCCUUUCCAUUUGCUGGAGAGAGAAGAGACAUGGAGGUGAGUUUACAGGCUCAACACAGCCCAGGCUGGCAUGGGGUGGAAGAUGGAGCCUGGCCAGACUGGCUCUCACAUUUAGAACAGCUGGAGGUUUCAGGCUCUGUGCCUUGUCCCCCUCCCUCAACUCCACCCAGGCUGGUCCAACAGGGAACCCAGGUCACUUGCCAGCUUCGUGAGUGGCAGGAAAUGAACCAGCAAUGCCUGAGCGCGUACCCAUGAGCAGACUCUGCUGGGAGCUGUCGGCAUGCUUCCUGCAUCCUGAGGAGGCUGUUAGCACUCCCAGUUUGGAGGAAAACAAAGUCCCAGAGCGGGUUUCAGGAAUGAUGAGAAAGAGAGAGGUAAAGGGUCUGACAUAGAGCAGGUGCUCAAGUGACACUUCCCAUCCUGAUGUUAGGGCUACAAGACCAGGAUCACCAUCCCCAGGGUUAUUCUGAAAUAUGCCUCCUGCACCAUGACCUGCUCUGAUCCUCACUUCAAACACUCAAUGACACCUGGAAAGGUCAGUAUCUGGUAGCAGCUGGGAGUGUGGGCUGGGCGCGGUGGCUCAUGCCUGUAAUCCCAGCACUUUGGGAGGCUAAGGCAGGAGGAUAGCUUGAGCCCAGGAGUUCAAGACUAGCCUGGGCAACAUAAGGAGACCCCAACUCUACAAGAAAAUCAGCUGAUUUUGGUGGUGCACACCUGUGGUCCCAGCUACUCAAGAGGCUGGGGUGAGA
Molecule: long non-coding RNA, 2875 nt
Filed under: Homo sapiens (human)
Lineage: Eukaryota; Metazoa; Chordata; Mammalia; Primates; Hominidae
Description: non-protein coding lnc-CIB3-6:1
Source: RNAcentral